UGACACCAGGACAAUAAUAUAAGUUGACACAGAUAUGGGGCUGCCACUGAGGAGAGAGAAGACUGAAAGAAGCACAUAGAUAAAAGAUUAUCUGAGUAGGCUGAAUGAUCGGUGAAAAGGAGGCCAAGCAUCUCAAAAAUAGGACACCUGAGAGUAUGAAGCCAAUGUGACACUCAGGUGCCUGCCCAUUCAACACUAUGAAAACUUCCACCUGCUGAUAAAGAAAGAAGCAGACAUCAAUGGAAAGACAGCAUCUUGCUCCCACUGUCUCCUCAAGCUCUUCCAGGCUAGAUAAAGCUCAGGCCUGACUACUCUGCCAGAAAAAAAGAAGACAUCCAGAGAUGUGGACGUGGCUGGAGAGAGAUCCUCCAAGAAGUGGUAUCAAGUCUGUGUGUCUCUUUGAGAGCACCAUCUUCAGAAAGAGCAACUCAAUCAGUUUUUUGGACUCUGACCCACCAAAUAAUCAUGACUUUCUUUGUGUGUAUGCAUGUGGCAGGGUAAGUGGUUGGGGUGGAUUUAAUGCCUUCCAUCCUUAAUGGGGAGACAGGAGCUGCAGAGGCACCCAUAGUCCAAAAGGAAAGUUACUGACACUCCCCAUCGACGACUCCCCACUCAACACACCUUCAUCAUCUUCUGCCCCAGUUACGUCUUUCCGGCUGAAUGUGGUGUUCUCUCUUUUCACUCUAUUCUGAAUUUGCUGUCAGAGUGGUUUUCCUGAAGCACAACUUUGAUUUUUUCACUAAAUGCUCAAAAAUACUCCAUGGCUCUCACUCUCUGGAGCAGUGGUGAGCAGUCUGGCCCUCCUGUUUUUGUAAAUAAAGCUUUAUUGGAACACAGCCACAUGUACAUAUUAGCCAUGGCACUCUCAUGCUACAAAGUCAGAGUUGAGUAGUUGCAACAGAGAAUACAUGACCUACAAAGCCUAAAAUAUUUACCAUCUAGUCCUUAAUAUUAAAAAAUUUGCCAAAUCCUGGUUUAGAGAAA
Macaca mulatta (Rhesus monkey) is the source of this 984-nucleotide non-coding RNA. The record is from RefSeq and is a predicted model, not a curated record. Lineage: Eukaryota; Metazoa; Chordata; Mammalia; Primates; Cercopithecidae.